This is a long non-coding RNA of Dermochelys coriacea (leatherback sea turtle), 2326 nucleotides long. RefSeq lists it as uncharacterized. The transcript has 2 exons. The record is from RefSeq and is a predicted model, not a curated record. Lineage: Eukaryota; Metazoa; Chordata; Testudines; Dermochelyidae.
CAAAGUUCAGGCGAGAAACAAGCAGAAACAAAACGUAUAUGAGCUGACAUGCUGCCAAGCUGCCUCUUGUACUCUCAGGGCAGUUGGUAGGUUUUCCCAUAGUGCUCAUAUAAUUGAAACACUGCACAGAUGUUAAGGAAGAGUUUGCAGAACAAGAGAGAAACCUGGCCUGCUCACGAGAAGCAUCCUCACAUCCAAAAAGCAAACAACCCACAUUAUGGGAAUUCUUACGCCAAUAAAAGCAUAUCAAAACAGGGUGAAAUGACACUAACAAAGCCUCAGAUAAGAGAAAAACAGUAAAUGCAAAGUCUGUGCCUUAAACCUGGUGAGAUAAGGAUGUGAGUUAUUACCCUUCGCACUUAUAAGUCUAAAGCAACAGACUCCAGGCUAGAGUGAGGACCUAGUCAGUCCAUGUGAAGAGUGUGAGAACAGUGGGGUCUGCAGCUACAAAAUUCUUUUCUGCACAAAAGAGGUUAUAAGGAAUGUUUAUUCCCAUACCCUGACCUCUCCUUAACCAUCACAAUCCCAGCAAAGGCUACUCUUAGAGUCUCUUACCAGCGUGAGAGAAGAAUAAAAUGUGAACUAGAGGAGAUAUCCUUUGAGAGUCAAACUAUAAUUGAAGGCACGUGUAAAACAAAAGUGAUGUUGGAAAGUCUGAAACUCUCUGAAGUCUAUGGGCUAUGGAGCAUCACCCCAAAUGCUGUGGAGAGAAUGCCCAUCACUUCGCAUAUUGAAAGACAACAAACCCUGUUUAGUUAACUCACUGAUUAGCAAAUGGGAGAGCAUGUCAGUCCACCUUGGGAACUACAUCCUUCCCUUGUUUAUUCUUGUACAACAUCAUUGACUUUAAUAGAGUUAACAGGCUCUGGCAGCAGGGAAAGGGUCUGGCUGCUCCCCACUGGGAGAGCCCUUCCCUGCUGCCCGAGACUUUCACUUCACCAGGGAAAGGUUUCAGGAGAUAGGAAUCAGCAGGACCCUUCACUGCUAUAAGUAGCAGUGUAGAUGUGAGAGGAACUGUUUGGUCAUAGAGAGCCUGCAGGGCGCUCUAUGUGUGUGUAGGGCACUCUACUUGCCUAAACUGUGUCUCACUGUUUACAACUGCCAUUUAUACCCAUGCUAGCAGGGUAUAAACACUCUACACACUGCCAUAAAUGUAGGCGUAGCCUUUGAGUAGUGGGCUUGUGAACUGGUCACCUCUGGCAGGACCUAGGGUUCUUAGAAGGGAAGAAUCUUUCCUGGUAAGCUUGUAGCAGCUACAAUAACCCCAGGGCUGCCUGCAUCCCCCUUCAAAGGGAAGAUUGGCCCUGCCCAUUUUCUAUACCAGAUCCCAUUGUGUUUCCCUGUGCAGAGCAGCCCCAUUGAACUCUGUUCUGUGUUGACAGGGAGUGUUCACCUGCUCUAUGAUCUUCCAAACCAGUAUUUGUCCCAUAGUUAUCUAUUUUUUCUUUCUAGAACAAUUUCGUUUUAAGCUGAGGUUUGCUGUAACCAGAAUAGCAAUGGGAACAUUGCCCUACAUUUGGGACUUGCAUUUGCUUCACUGUGUUUGAGUUCUUGCUAAAUGGCCUUCACUGUACAAAGUUUCUUACAACUUUAGUUUUAUGAUUCUGCAUUUCUGAUUGUGUCAAAAAUUUACAGUAAUAGAAAGCGAUACAAUAGCAAGGCCAUGUAGCACUUAGGAGAUACCCUUGAUACAGUAGUGUUUACAUCCCUUUGAAUAAAAUAUAGUUGACAGGCAUAAAUAAGAAUAGUUACAAAUAUUAAAAAUGUAUAUAUAGAAAUGUAAGUUACCUUUGGACCUUGGUUAGUGUGAAUGAUUGCCACUUUUCUAACAGAAUUGUUCUAUGAUUCUUUUUUUCUCCAGUCAAAAAAACCUAGAAAAAGUCUAUUCUUGUUUUACAUGCAGAAAUUUUGAUUCUGUUCCAGAGUAAGAAUUUUAGAUCAAUAGCAAUAACACACACCUUAGUUACCAAUGUUAGAGCCUCACAUGAGGGUACCACUAUUGGCAGAGUAACCAAUGACUACUUUCUUUUUUUAAUGGCACUGAAAAGCAGAUUUUCUUUUGAAAUGUACAAAAAUUGUGAGAUGGGGUAUAAUGACAGCCUUCUGCUGCCUGGGUUAGGGAGGCAAGCUGAUAGCAGUAAAUGAGAUGACUGGCAUAGUGCAGUUUUUCCCUCUGUGUCUGCAAAGUGUGGGAAAGGGCAAGGGCAUGAAAUAUAAUGUUGUGAGUUUUUGAACAUUGGUUUCUGCUGGAAAUCAUUUAAGGGGAUCAGCAUGCGUGCAUGGUCAUCUCGAGUGGUAUCUAAAGGGGAUGAAAUGCUAAAUGAAA